UCCAGACUCCUACGGGAGGCAGCAGUGGGGGAUAUUGCACAAUGGGGGAAACCCUGAUGCAGCAACGCCGCGUGAGUGAAGAAGUAUUUCGGUAUGUAAAGCUCUAUCAGCAGGGAAGAGAAUGACGGUACCUGACUAAGAAGCCCCGGCUAACUACGUGCCAGCAGCCGCGGUAAUACGUAGGGGGCGAGCGUUAUCCGGAUUUACUGGGUGUAAAGGGAGCGUAGACGGCUGGUCAAGUCUGAAGUGAAAGCCCGGGGCUUAACCCCGGAACGGCUUUGGAAACUGAGCAGCUAGAGUGCUGGAGAGGUAAGCGGAAUUCCUAGUGUAGCGGUGAAAUGCGUAGAUAUUAGGAGGAACACCAGUGGCGAAGGCGGCUUACUGGACAGUAACUGACGUUGAGGCUCGAAAGCGUGGGGAGCAAACAGGAUUAGAUACCCCAGUA
RNAcentral lists this ribosomal RNA (445 nucleotides) under uncultured bacterium. Its description in RNAcentral is "bacterial SSU rRNA". It matches the Rfam family "Bacterial small subunit ribosomal RNA", at positions 330 to 792 of the family's 1533-position model. The record is from RNAcentral.